CGCCGCCGGGCGCGCUGCGACGCUUUGGCGAUUUAGCUCCGUGACAUCAUUCCGUUCAUAAAGCUAGAUUACCAAAGCAUCGCGUCGCGCCGUCUCAACG
This 100-nucleotide microRNA precursor is filed under the name Bombyx mori (domestic silkworm). Its description in RNAcentral is "microRNA bmo-mir-79 precursor". Its record names the gene bmo-mir-79. Lineage: Eukaryota; Metazoa; Arthropoda; Insecta; Lepidoptera; Bombycidae. The record is from miRBase by way of RNAcentral.